GCCGGAGCCGGAGCCGCAGCCGGUCUGGGGCCCAGGGCUGUGGGGCCGCUGGGUGUGGCCGCUCCGUGUGGCUGCGAUGGCGACUCCGUGGGGAGGCCUCCCGCGUCUCGGCUCCUUGCUCAGCCUGUCCUGCCUGGCGCUGGCGGUGCUGCUGCUGGUGUGGACGGCCGACGCCGCCAAGAAUUCGAAGGAUGUUCCGUGUAAAUGUAUUUGUCCUCCCUAUAAAGAUAUUCCUGGACAUAUUUAUAAUAGGAACAUAUCCCAAAAAGAUUGCGAUUGCCUUCAUGUUGUGGAGCUCAUGUCUGUGAGGGAGCCUGACAUAGAAGCAUACUGUCUGCGCUGUGAAUGCAAAUAUGAGGAAAGAAGCUCUGUAACAAUCAAGGUUACCGUUAUAAUUUACCUGUCCAUUUUGGGUCUUCUACUUCUGUACAUGGUGUACCUUACUCUGGUUGAGCCCAUACUGAAGAGACGCCUGUUUGGACACUCACAAUUAAUACAGAGUGAUGAUGAUGUUGGGGAUCACCAGCCAUUUGCAAAUGCCCACGAUGUGCUGGCCCGCUCCCGCACUCAAGCCAAUGUGCUGAACAAGGUAGAGUAUGCCCAGCAGCGCUGGAAGCUUCAAGUUCAAGAGCAGUGGAAGUCGGCCUUUGACCGUCAUGUUGUCCUCAGCUAAUUCAGAAUCAAAUUCAAGGUAACUAGAAAGCAACAAUGCAGGCAACUGGAAAAAACUGACUGAUUUUUCCUGGGUUUUGUUUUAACACCCUGUUGAUUUCACCAACUCUUGCUGGAAAAUUCAAAACCCGAAACAGAAAUGUGCUUGGAAUUUUUUUUCUUGUUAACAUAUUAAUAGAGACAUUUUUUAAAGCACACACCAAGUCGCCAAUAAACCUUAUCCUAUUUGUGACAAAAAAAA
RNA transcript from Myotis lucifugus (little brown bat), 913 nucleotides. It is a transcript of the gene named transmembrane protein 9B pseudogene, with no coding region annotated. The record is from RefSeq and is a predicted model, not a curated record. The transcript has a single exon. NCBI's taxonomy places the organism in Eukaryota, Metazoa, Chordata, Mammalia, Chiroptera, Vespertilionidae.